This 440-nucleotide ribosomal RNA is filed under the name uncultured bacterium. RNAcentral's name for it is "bacterial SSU rRNA". It matches the Rfam family "Bacterial small subunit ribosomal RNA", at positions 338 to 795 of the family's 1533-position model. The record is from RNAcentral.
CCUACGGGGGGCUGCAGUGGGGAAUCUUGCGCAAUGGGGGAAACCCUGACGCAGCGACGCCGCGUGCGGGAUGACGAUCUUCGGAUUGUAAACCGCUUUUCUUGGGGACGAUAAUGACGGUACCUGAGGAAGAAGCCCCGGCUAACUCCGUGCCAGCAGCCGCGGUAAGACGGGGGGGGCAAGCGUUAUCCGGAAUUACUGGGCGUAAAGCGCACGUAGGCGGCUUUGUACGGCGGUGGUGAAAGCUCCCGGCUCAACUGGGAGAGGUCCGCCGCACCGGCAGAGCUCGAGGGUGGUAGAGGUUGAUGGAAUUCCUGGUGUAGCGGUGAAAUGCGUAGAGAUCAGGAGGAACACCCGUGGCGAAGGCGGUCAACUGGGCCACGCCUGACGCUGAGGUGCGAAAGCCAGGGGAGCGAACGGGCUUAGAUACCCCAGUAGUC